This 422-nucleotide ribosomal RNA is filed under the name uncultured bacterium. Its description in RNAcentral is "partial 16S ribosomal RNA". It matches the Rfam family "Bacterial small subunit ribosomal RNA", at positions 360 to 774 of the family's 1533-position model. The record is from RNAcentral.
AAUAUUGGACAAUGGGGGCAACCCGGAUCCAGCCUUGCCGCUAGUUUGAAGAAGGUCUUCGGAUUGUAAAGCACUUUAAGUUGGGAGGAAGGGCUUUAGGCUAAUACCCUGAAGUUUUGACGUUACCAACAGAAUAAGAACCGGCUAAUCCUGUGCCAGCAGCCGCGGUAAUACAGAGGGUGCAACCGUUAAUCGGAAUUACUGGGCCUAAAGCGCGCGUAGGUGGUUCAGUAAGAUAGGUGUGAAAUCCCCGGGCUUAACCUGGGAACUGCUUUCAUAACUGCUGAGCUAGAGUACGGUAGAGGGUAGUGGAAUUUCCUGUGUAGCGGUGAAAUGCGUAGAUAUAGGAAGGAACACCAGUGGCGAAGGCGACUACCUGGACUGAUACUGACACUGAGGUGCGAAAGCGUGGGGAGCAAACA